UACGUAGGUGGCAAGCGUUGUCCGGAUUUACUGGGCGUAAAGCGCACGUAGGUGGCGACGUAAGUCGGGUGUGAAAGCCCCGGGCUCAACCUGGGAAUUGCAUUCGAGACUGCAUUGCUGGAGUACGGAAGAGGAAGGCGGAAUUCCCGGUGUAGCGGUGAAAUGCGUAGAUAUCGGGAGGAACAUCAGUGGCGAAGGCGGCCUUCUGGUCCAGUACUGACACUCAAGUGCGAAAGCGUGGGAAGCAAACAGG
RNAcentral lists this ribosomal RNA (253 nucleotides) under uncultured bacterium. RNAcentral describes it as "partial 16S ribosomal RNA". It matches the Rfam family "Bacterial small subunit ribosomal RNA", at positions 524 to 776 of the family's 1533-position model. The record is from RNAcentral.